Molecule: long non-coding RNA, 2058 nt
Filed under: Oryza sativa (Asian cultivated rice)
Lineage: Eukaryota; Viridiplantae; Streptophyta; Magnoliopsida; Poales; Poaceae
Description: long non-coding RNA (OSAT_LNC000936)
Source: RNAcentral
UUUGAUCCAUUAUACUUAGUUGUCAAUUAUGUCUUGUUUUGCAGCCCUGAUGAUACUCCUUGGGAUGGAGGUAAGGAAUUUAAAGUCUUUCCUUUUAUUUGGGGUUUGCAUUUGGGACUUGGGAGAGUAAUCACAGGCAUGAUAUGGGGAAAUUUAACUAUUUUCCACUUUUAGUUUUGGCAAUUAACCAAAUACCCUUCUUAGAUUUGCACUUAAGAAUUUGCCACUGGAGAGAGAAGCUUUUGUAAUUUUUUGCCACUUUCUGCACUGUUCAGUGCCACAUAUACAUGCCAGCAUGGACCAGGCACACGAAAUGACUAAUCUACCCUUGUUAGUAAUGUCUGUAAUAUAAGCUGAGUCAGGAAUAAUAUUUGGACAAAUUGCUUUCGCGAAUCAGUUGCAUCGGUAUGGAUGCUGUUCACUUUUAUGAGGUACUAUAUUAAAGACCGAGUACCUCCACAUCAGUUAACAAAUCAAUAUUUGAAGGAAUAGAUCCACUGAGAUGGUUAUAACAAACUUUCAAAACGAUACUUAGAUUGAGUUCUUUUGUUCACUUUCACAACUUAUCUCUCUCGUUUUUCAUGUGUACGUUUUUCAAGCUGCUAAACGGUAUUCCAAUUUGGCUGGUAUUGUUGGGAUGGUGCCACCUGGAGUGAGCUCGAUUAAGGUGUACGAUAGCAUGGUUUGGAAAUAUUUCUCUCUUCACGUAAAACUGAGCAAAGAAUUAGCGCAUGACUAAUUUAGUUUGAGUUUUAAGAAAUAAAGAAUAGAUUAAUAUAUAUUUUUAAAGUAACUUAAUUUUAUUUAAAAAGUUAUUAAAGAAACGUGCGAAAAAAAAUGAGGGAGUAGAACUCAGACUGGCGGAGGCCCUGGUUCCGGUUUUUUUCAGUCCAACCGCCGGUCCGGUCGGUCCUAAUAACUGUGAGUAGAAGUUAGAAAAAAGACAUCCGAAUGCAGCCUCAGAAAGUUAAUGAACUGACUGUAACAUGAAUGGUGCCAUUGAUGUUGUUGCCUUAUAAAUUUAAAAGGGUAAAAUGGGAAGAUUGGGCAGGUUGCUGGUUUCUCUUGGUAUCUUUCCAGUGAAUGAAUUAUGACUAAGAUUCAAUGCGGACAGGCUUAGCAACUGAGAAACUUACCACUAGCUAGAAGGGGUAGGUUGGUCAUUUUUCACGUUGGUCCAUGUUGGCAUGCACAUGUGGCACUCCACAGGGCAAAAAGUGGCAAAAAGUUACAAAAGCUUCUCUCUCUAAUGGCAAAUUCUUAAGUACAAUCUUAAGAAGGGUAUUUGGUUAAUUGUCAAAUGUAAAAGUGGCAAAUAGUUAAAUUCCCCCAUGAUAUGACGCAUAUCUUGUACUUCAUUUUACUUCUGUUUUCAUAUUCAGAGAUAGUUUUGCUUGCAUAAUUCCAUUUUUGUUGUUGAUAUAACAAUUGGUUCAUUUAAUUAAUAGGCACUUAACUUUCUGGACAAAUGAUACAAUUUAUAAUUAUCAAACAAAUAGAAUGUAUGAACCUCAUUUUUUCUGUCAGUUCAACCCACAUUUCUACUGUCUUUGGGAUUUUAUGUCUCGGAAUGUAUAUUCUACACUUUAGACACUUUUCUUUUUGUCUACAAUGGUCCAGCCUUGGAGCAUGUAGUUCAAACAUUUUAGGUUAAUUUUAAUUAAAACUUGUAAUUUUCUUGUCUAAUCGAGUGAAGCAUGUGUUUUUUUUGGGGUGACAUGGUUUGGAGAUCUUAUUUUGAUUAAUGUUUUGAAUUCAAAUAUAUGAUAGUCUAAAUCGUCAAUAAACAUUUGUUAAAACCUUUUCAUCAUUAGCUGAUCAUGUUUUAUUGGUUCUAUGACUGAGAAAGUGCUUGUUUUUUUUAAAGAGCCUCUGUACAACAUAAAUAAGGUGAUUAACCCGUUUUAAACAGUCUGUUGGGGAAGUCCUCUUUGCCAAACGUCCAUUUGAUAUUUUUCCUUUUUGUAUUUAUUGGCAUUUUGUUCUUGUACGUGUCACCAAUUGUACUCUUUUACAUGUUAACACUGUCAAAUUAUGUUUACUUCGCCAUCGCCAGGU